CUCCCCUUCCGGUUGGUCGCGAAUACAACUUUAUUGGCAGCUCCGGGCGCGGACGGGACACUGCCGGGAGGGGCCGGAAACGCCGCGGGUCCCUGCGCGCUGGGGUCUCAGCGUAGCGGAUAGGAGGCGAAACUGGUCGGGGGAAUGAAUGGCGAGGGGACUUGAUGUGGACAGGUUCCCAGAAUAGGUGCCAGAGAGGCCUGCAGCCCAACCCAGAACUGCCUGCAGGCUGUUGAGUUUGACUAAACUCGUCUAUAAUGUUGCUGCCUCUGUGUCCGUGGAGUGUAGCCAGGCAGCCUGCAGGGGCUUUGGACCAGCACCAGCCCCUCCCACGUGCACGUGUCCUACAAUUCCUGCAGAGUCACAGUCAGUGAAAGUUUUGGUAUAACUCUCCUGCAACCCUUGUGAUAAGCACGUUCCCCUGACGCCCAGGGAGCCCCUGCAAAGCUGACCAAAGCCCUGCUCUUUUUGACUCAAAUUGACCGAUCCGGCCCUAGCCCAGAACCCCCAAAGCACUCCACGGACCCUUUCUCUGCCUGUGCCCUGCCUCGACCUCCCCACAUGCUGUGCUGUGCUGUGCACCCCCAGGACCUGUGAGUCAUAAGCACCUCUCUUGUACUUUCCCUCCCAGUCCUUGUGUUCUGCCUGUCAAAUGUUAAUUUAACAGUCACAGCACGGGCAAGAAAAUUGCAGGACGAACCACCGCUUCCUGGCCACAGGACUGGGAAACACAUCAUAGUUAAACUUCUGAAAACCGAAGAGAGGAGAAAAAAUGUUAUACAUAGAAACGAUGCGUGGCCUGUAGGGGAACAGCAGCAUGAGUGACAGCAGGUGUCUUAUCCUACAUCACAGAGGCCGGGAGGAAGCGGCAUGUUGUUCAAGCAUCGAAAGAGAUUGAAAGGGAAGUGAAUUCUCUACCAACAGAACCGUCCUCAGGAGUGAAGGAGGAAUGAAAAUAUUCUCAGACAGAGGCAGACUGAUAGAAUUUGUUGCUAGCAGACUUGCCCUUGGUGAAUGAUUAAAAGGAGCUGUCCAAGAAGAGGAAAAUUGUAACAGGAAGGCAGGGCCCUUCAGAAAAUUAAGAAUAGAAUGGGUAAGAGUGGAAGGACACACGACUGACCGUCUUUCACUUCAUAAGUUUCUUCAAUCAGGGUUGAUGCUUGAAGCAGAAAAUAACGCUGAUGUGGGGCUCAGUGUAUGCAGAGGAAAUAUUUAUAAUUAUAUUUGAAAAGCGGGAAGGAUGAAGGGCGUAGUGGCAGUAAGGUUUCUACACUGCACUCGACGUGGCACAACAUCGAUACCAGGGGACCUCUAAGCGCCGUGUGUGUGUGUGUGGUGAUGUCUGGGGCAGCCGCUGAGAAAGCUCAACAUGGCGGUAGAGGCAGAAACAUUAAAUGGAAUUCUAACAAAUGUUUCAGGAUCUCACAGGGCACAAGAGAGGAAACCAACACGAUUAAUGAAAUGGCAGACGGAAGCCCUAAUAUGUCAAUGAUUACUUUAACGUAAAUGGUCUAAAUGUACCAGUUAGAAGACAGAGGUUGGCAGAGUGAAUAAAAAAACCGAGACCCGACUCUGCGUUGUCUACUAUAUGCUGAAGCUCAUUUUGGCCACAGGGACAUGGGUAGAUUGAAAGUAAAAGCAUGGAAGAGGAUAUAUCAAGUAAACAUUAAUUUUUAAUAAGCAGAUAGACUCUAUUAAUGCCAGCCAAAAUAAUCUUCAGAGUGAAGAAACUUUCUCAGAAAAAAACAGGGACGUUACCUAAUGAUAAAAUGACCAAUCCCAAGUGCACAGGCACCAAAUGACAGCUUCAGAGCAUAUGAAGGACUUUAUAUGAGGACUUCUUACCCACUCCCAGCAGUUGUAGAAUUACUAGACAGACAUUCAGCAAAGAUAUACAAGAGCACCGCCCUCAACCGACAAGAUUAAGGGACACUUGUGGAACACUCCGCCCAACAACAGCAGAGGACACAUUCUUUUCCAGUGACCGUGGAACAUAUUCCAAGAGAGACCAUAUCUUGGGCCAUAAAACAAAAUCAAUUUAAAAGAACUGAAACCAUACGGAGACUAUGUUCUCUGAAUCAAACUGAAAAUCAGUAGCAGACAAUAAGAAAAUCUUCAAACGUGGAAAUUCAGCACAGGUGUCCUCAGAGAUACAAAGGAAUGAACGGCUGCUCUACACAAGGAGCUGGUGACUCUAGGGAAGAUGUCGUGAGUCCAAAGGGCAGUCAUUAAAGGGUGAGCGUAGUGAGAUCCCACUUACGUGACAUUCGUGAAGUGACAAGUCCAGGUCUUCCUGGUCUCCGGGGUUAGGGAUGGAGCUGGGAGUGGCCCUGACGCACCGAUGGGGCAGUCGUGUGUGGUGACGGUACUUAAGCAUUGUGAUGGUGGUGGUGGCGGCCACUCGGAUACACAGACGGCAUCUGCCCUGUCUCCUUCCCGAAGACACACAGCCAGACCGAAGGGAAGGAAGUAAACCGGUGAUCCCAGGAGCAGCCCAACGGAAGGGCCAGUGCAUCAAAAUAAGUACGACAUGCCCAUAAAAGAGGUGAAGGUCUUUAUCUUGGCGGUGUGACACCGGGAACAAGAAGAAGGUGCCUAAAAGAGGGGGAUGGAAGCAAAAAUGCUGAUAUCUGGUUGAUGGAUGCCCUAGAGAAAGGGGUCAUAAAUACGGGGAGUAGCCAAUAUUUGAAGGGACAACGGAGACAAAUUUUCCAGAGUGGAAGAGAAAGGACCGUCAGCUUAGAUCUGCAGAGUAGCACAUAUUGACAGGCUAUGGAAUCCAAGAAUGUCAAAGACAAACGUGGAGAGGACUGCCAGAGAAAAAACAGAUUGCUUUCAAAGGAACAGGAAUCAGACUGAGAUCAGAUGUUGUUACUCCACCGCUAUCUCCGUUACGCUUCUUGCGUAGAGUACGAAAGGUUGAUUUUUUUCCCCCCAGUAGCAAAAUACGUAGAUAAACCUGAACCUGGUAAAAAAAAAAAAAAAAAAAAAAAGGAAUAAUAAA
Panthera uncia (snow leopard) is the source of this 3004-nucleotide long non-coding RNA. RefSeq lists it as uncharacterized. The record is from RefSeq and is a predicted model, not a curated record. Lineage: Eukaryota; Metazoa; Chordata; Mammalia; Carnivora; Felidae. The transcript has 2 exons.